GGAUUAGAUACCCUGGUAGUCCACGCUGUAAACGAUGUCAACUAGCCGUUGGAAGGGUAAUCCUUUUAGUGGCGCAGCUAACGCACUAAGUUGACCGCCUGGGGAGUACGGUCGCAAGAUUAAAACUCAAAUGAAUUGACGGGGGCCCGCACAAGCGGUGGAGCAUGUGGUUUAAUUCGACGCAACGCGAAGAACCUUACCUACUCUUGACAUCCUCGGAACUUUCCAGAGAUGGAUUGGUGCCUUCGGGAACCGAGUGACAGGUGCUGCAUGGCUGUCGUCAGCUCGUGCCG
RNAcentral lists this ribosomal RNA (293 nucleotides) under uncultured bacterium. RNAcentral's name for it is "partial 16S ribosomal RNA". It matches the Rfam family "Bacterial small subunit ribosomal RNA", at positions 775 to 1067 of the family's 1533-position model. The record is from RNAcentral.